UGUUCAGGAGAAAAUUCCCUAUCGCUGCAAAUCAUACAGAGCUGGGCCAGAAGAUCAUGUCGUUAUACAAAGCUUCAAAGUGUAUGCCUUCGAGAUGAGCUCCAAUGGCACCACGGAGACUACCAUAUUUAUCAUUAAUUGGAAGAAUCCUUCACUCACAGCAUUCUGCCUUCCUUAACCAUUUGAAGAAAUACUGGAUGUCACUUAAAUCUUGGUCUCUGUAUAGUCCACACCAGAGACUGAUAGAUAAUAAAACUAAGGCACAGAGACCAGUGAUUUGCCACCUUAAUGGUAAGCAGUAGUGUUUGAUAAUGAAUCAAGCCCUCAAACUCCAAAUCCAUUACUCUUUCCACUGAAACAGCCCAAGUCUUCAUUCAUUCACUCAUUUGUUCCCAUUCAUUCCACAAAUACGAUCAAGUCCCUACUACACCUCCUAGAGUUGAGUUUGUGAGUAGAGAUUCUAUCCCUGGGAUUUUUCAGGGCUGUCUCCAUUUCAAAAUAAGAAAGUGUACUUUUUAACGAAGGAAAUUUUACCAAAGAAAUAUCCUUUAUCAGACCACAUUUCCCAAUUUUGGGUCAGAAAAUAUAGCUGCGGCAUGUUGUUAAGGGACCCAGGAAAAGAACUAUUUAUAAAUAAUGACUUGAGCUUACCUACUUUUUUUGUGGAGGAACCACGAUUUACAGCCAUGCCAGAUAUCACCACAAGGCCAUGU
RNAcentral lists this long non-coding RNA (713 nucleotides) under Monodelphis domestica (gray short-tailed opossum). RNAcentral's name for it is "lncRNA (ENSMODG00000042700.1)". Lineage: Eukaryota; Metazoa; Chordata; Mammalia; Didelphimorphia; Didelphidae. The record is from RNAcentral.